GGGCGAGUGGCGAAACUGGCAGACGCGCACGCUUCAGGAGCGUGUGGGGCAACCCAUGGAGGUUCAAAUCCUCUCUCGCCCACUA
RNAcentral lists this transfer RNA (85 nucleotides) under Candidatus Giovannonibacteria bacterium RIFCSPLOWO2_01_FULL_46_13. RNAcentral describes it as "tRNA-Leu". It matches the Rfam family "tRNA". Rfam says of the family: Transfer RNA (tRNA) molecules are approximately 80 nucleotides in length. The record is from RNAcentral. Lineage: Bacteria; Candidatus Giovannoniibacteriota.